This 253-nucleotide ribosomal RNA is filed under the name uncultured bacterium. Its description in RNAcentral is "partial 16S ribosomal RNA". It matches the Rfam family "Bacterial small subunit ribosomal RNA", at positions 524 to 776 of the family's 1533-position model. The record is from RNAcentral.
UACGAAGGGUGCAAGCGUUAAUCGGAAUUACUGGGCGUAAAGCGUGCGUAGGCGGUUUGUUAAGUCUGCUGUGAAAUCCCCGGGCUCAACCUGGGAAUGGCAGUGGAUACUGGCAAGCUAGGGUGUGUCAGAGGAUGGUGGAAUUCCCGGUGUAGCGGUGAAAUGCGUAGAGAUCAGGAGGAACAUCAGUGGCGAAGGCGGCCAUCUGGGACAACACUGACGCUGAGGCACGAAAGCGUGGGGAGCAAACAGG